RNAcentral lists this ribosomal RNA (301 nucleotides) under uncultured bacterium. Its description in RNAcentral is "partial 16S ribosomal RNA". It matches the Rfam family "Bacterial small subunit ribosomal RNA", at positions 509 to 807 of the family's 1533-position model. The record is from RNAcentral.
CAGUAGCCACGGGAAUACAGAGGGUGCGAGCGUUAAUCGGAUUUACUGGGCGUAAAGCGUGCGUAGGCGGCUUUUUAAGUCGGAUGUGAAAUCCCUGAGCUUAACUUAGGAAUUGCAUUCGAUACUGUGAAGCUAGAGUAUGGGAGAGGAUGGUAGAAUUCCAGGUGUAGCGGUGAAAUGCGUAGAGAUCUGGAGGAAUACCGAUGUCGAAGGCAGCCAUCUGGCCUAAUACUGACGCUGAGGUACGAAAGCAUGGGGAGCAAACAGGAUUAGAGACCCCCGUAGUCCCUGUCUCUUAUAC